UACGGGGGGAGCAAGCGUUGUUCGGAUUCACUGGGCGUAAAGGGUGCGUAGGUGGUGGGGUAAGUCUCGUGUGAAAGCUCGCAGCUCAACUGCGAAAAGUCACGGGAUACUAUUCCGCUGGAGGGUUGGAGGGGGGACUGGAAUACUUGGUGUAGCAGUGAAAUGCGUAGAUAUCAAGUGGAACACCAGUGGCGAAGGCGAGUCCCUGGACAACACCUGACACUGAGGCACGAAAGCCAGGGGAGCAAACAGG
This 253-nucleotide ribosomal RNA is filed under the name uncultured bacterium. RNAcentral's name for it is "partial 16S ribosomal RNA". It matches the Rfam family "Bacterial small subunit ribosomal RNA", at positions 524 to 776 of the family's 1533-position model. The record is from RNAcentral.